Molecule: ribosomal RNA, 253 nt
Filed under: uncultured bacterium
Lineage: Bacteria
Description: partial 16S ribosomal RNA
Rfam family: Bacterial small subunit ribosomal RNA
Source: RNAcentral
UACAGAGGUCCCGAGCGUUGUUCGGAUUCAUUGGGCGUAAAGGGUGCGUAGGCGGUCUUCUAAGUUUGAUGUGAAAUCCCGGGGCUCAACCCUGGAAUUGCAUUGAAUACUGGAGGACUAGAGUACCGGAGAGGAAACUGGAAUUUACGGUGUAGCAGUGAAAUGCGUAGAGAUCGUAAGGAAGACCAGUGGCGAAGGCGAGUUUCUGGACGGUAACUGACGCUGAGGCACGAAGGCCAGUGGAGCAAACGGG